GUAGUUCAACUGGAUAGAACGAGGCCCUCCUAAGGCUUAAAUCCUGGUUCGAGUCCAG
Molecule: transfer RNA, 58 nt
Filed under: Diaphanoeca grandis
Lineage: Eukaryota; Choanoflagellata; Acanthoecida; Stephanoecidae
Rfam family: tRNA
About the family: Transfer RNA (tRNA) molecules are approximately 80 nucleotides in length. Their secondary structure includes four short double-helical elements and three loops (D, anti-codon, and T loops).
Source: RNAcentral